Molecule: ribosomal RNA, 586 nt
Filed under: uncultured Actinomycetes bacterium
Lineage: Bacteria; Bacillati; Actinomycetota; Actinomycetes
Description: bacterial SSU rRNA
Rfam family: Bacterial small subunit ribosomal RNA
Source: RNAcentral
GAGUUUGAUCAUGGCUCAGGACGAACGCUGGCGGCGUGCUUAACACAUGCAAGUCGAGCGGUGACGCCCCUUCGGGGGCUGAUCAGCGGCGAACGGGUGAGUAACACGUGAGCAACCUGCCCCUGACACUGGGAUAAGCCCGGGAAACUGGGUCUAAUACCGGAUACGACCGCGACAGGCAUCUGUCGAGGUGGAAAGGAUUCUGGUCAGGGAUGGGCUCGCGGCCUAUCAGCUUGUUGGUGGGGUAACGGCCCACCAAGGCGACGACGGGUAGCCGGCCUGAGAGGGCGACCGGCCACACUGGGACUGAGACACGGCCCAGACUCCUACGGGAGGCAGCAGUGGGGAAUAUUGCGCAAUGGGCGAAAGCCUGACGCAGCAACGCCGCGUGGGGGAUGAAGGCCUUCGGGUUGUAAACCCCUUUCAGCAGGGAAGAAGCGAAAGUGACGGUACCUGCAGAAGAAGCACCGGCUAACUACGUGCCAGCAGCCGCGGUAAUACGUAGGGUGCAAGCGUUGUCCGGAAUUAUUGGGCGUAAAGAGCUCGUAGGCGGUUUGUCGCGUCUGCUGUGAAAGUUCGGGGCUCA